Molecule: long non-coding RNA, 209 nt
Organism: Dromaius novaehollandiae (emu)
Lineage: Eukaryota; Metazoa; Chordata; Aves; Casuariiformes; Dromaiidae
Exons: 2
Source: RefSeq, a predicted model, not a curated record
CAACAGUCCAAUUGCUCUCCAGCACAACAACCUGCAGCGACCGACACAGACGACUUAGUGCUACUCUAAAAAAAUCAGUGCAGCCCGGAGAAAGACUUAAUUGCGGCGUUUGAAAAGUUGAGAAGAAGGAGGUGGGCUCCCGCCUUGCACUGGGCCGUACCGAGAAAAAAGUCGUUUUCGGUAUUAAAGACCCGGCUGUUUUAGCAGGA